Molecule: regulatory RNA element, 175 nt
Organism: Carnobacterium maltaromaticum LMA28
Lineage: Bacteria; Bacillati; Bacillota; Bacilli; Lactobacillales; Carnobacteriaceae
Rfam family: M-box riboswitch aptamer (ykoK leader)
About the family: M-box riboswitch, also know as ykoK leader is described as a metaloregulatory RNA that sense divalent metals and function as a genetic control element of genes related to divalent metal transport in bacteria. It was first reported upstream of the B.subtilis ykoK gene and genes with related functions in other bacteria.
Source: Rfam
AAUCGGUACUGUUAGGUGAGGCUCCUAUAUAAACAUAGGCUACUGCCCAAAAAUAUCGAAAGAUGCCAAUGGGUAGAACAGGGAUUGUCGAAUUAAGGCUUUCCAUAAGGUAGCUAAAAACGAUGUGUUCGUUUUUUACGUUAUAUAGUGCUAAAGCUCAACGAAGGUAACUCUU